ACGACGCUGGCGGCGUGCUUAACACAUGCAAGUCGAACGGAAAGGCCCUGCGUUUGUGGGGUGCUCGAGUGGCGAACGGGUGAGUAACACGUGAGUAACCUGCCCGUGACUUUGGGUUAACUUCAGGAAACUGGGGCUAAUACCGGAUAGGAGCUCCUGCUGCAUGGUGGGGGUUGGAAAGUUUCGGCGGUUGGGGCUGGACGCGCGGCUUAUCAGCUUGUUGGUGGGGUAGUGGCUUACCAAGGCCUUGACGGGUAGCCGGCCUGAGAGGGUGACCGGCCACAUUGGGACUGAGAUACGGCCCAGACUCCUACGGGAGGCAGCAGUGGGGAAUAUUGCACAGUGGGCGGAAGCCUGAUGCAGCAACGCCGCGUGCGGGAUGACGGCCUUCGGGUUGUAAACCGCUUUCGCCUGUGACGAAGCGUGAGUGACGGUAAUGGGUAAAGAAGCACCGGCUAACUACGUG
RNAcentral lists this ribosomal RNA (466 nucleotides) under uncultured bacterium. RNAcentral describes it as "partial 16S ribosomal RNA". It matches the Rfam family "Bacterial small subunit ribosomal RNA", at positions 33 to 507 of the family's 1533-position model. The record is from RNAcentral.